GCAGAGAAAGAGGAACCAGAAGAAAGAGAAACUCGCGACAACAGAGUUGCCGAAAGAGAAGUGUUGGAGCCUCAAACUUGAGGAUCAGCUUCUUGGGCCCCACUCCAGGGUGUCGCGGGGUCGGGUUCUUUCUGCCGCCCCCCGGAAGAUUCUCAGCUAACCCUUUCCUCGCCGAGACCAAGAGGCCCUCACUCUGACACCAUUCUGGGAGCCAAGCUACUGUAAGGAGCUGAUACCAUCCCUCGCCCGCGCAAACCGCCCAUCUCCCCAGACCCGCCCACCCCCUGCUGCGAAUCCCUGACGUUCUAGCCCGGCGAAGGUCCUCUUAAAUUAGGAAACAAUAGCUAUUUAAGAAGAAGCGCAAAUAACCCGCGCUUUGCGCGCCCAAUCGUGGCAUUCUUGGGAGUUCCUCGCGGGCAAGGAAGUCUGCUGCUCCCCGCAGCUGCGGAGGAGAGGAAGGAGUCUGCGUGCUGGGGCAGGGGUGUCGCGAACUUGGGGCAACCCACCUCCAGGGCCCCGCCCCCGCUUUCCCGCCUGCCGGGGACCUGCCGAACGGGGAACCACCCUCCUCCCUGAGGCAAAUUUGGGAGGGGAGGGGUCCAGAAGCUGUAGAGUCGGGGCGCCAAGCGCCAGAUUCUGCCGCUCGGAUUUCGGGGCAGUCCCUAGUCCCGCCUCAGGCCCCCGCGCUCACAGGGCGCUCCGCCGAGGGCGCGGGCCAGGCGCGCGGUGUCACCUCCACGAAGUCAUUUACUUGCCCUGAAGGAGCCGGCCCUCGACCCCUUGGAGGGUGGAGAUUCCUCCCAUUCCCUCCUCCCCCUCCCCCAGGUCGGCGAAGAGACGUGGAAUUGAGCUGGACCGAUGAUUCCGCGAGCUCUGUAAUUAUGCACACACUGAAAUCUUCACCGUUGACUUAAGUUACUUGGCGCUGCGAGGGCUGGGGCCCUGCAUAUUGAUUAAAUGCAGCCUCUAUUUACCUAAACAAUAAAUGUAGAGAUUAGCAACGUUCACUUGAUCACAAUAAUGGGAUUGACAAUUAAGGGGCAAUGCAUCCCAGAUGUAGCGGAACCUAUGGGCUGCCUGCAGCGGGCAAAGGGCUUCUCGGAGAGGGGCGCCCGGGCAGUUGCGGCGGCGGAGGUGGUGCAGAGCAGGAAGCGGCGCGGAAGCACAGCGGGAGGCGGAGGGGGACGCCCAGCCUCGUCAAGGUCUUCGGCCACCCCGCCCGGGAGGCUCGAAACUGGCUUUGAGGUACCUGAACGCCCCGACUCCCAGGGAGACAUCGGGAGCUCGGAGCCACCCUCCCUGUGGCGAUGGCACCUGCCUCAAGGCCGUCUCGCUUGCUGAUGCCUGGCUGGGAAGGAGGAUGGACGCCGCUGGCAUGUGCCCUGGGUUCUGAGAAGAGGUUCUAGGAAGGAGAGGGCUGAAAGGAACUAACUUAGAGAAGAACCCAGGAGAGUGGAACAUGGGGUAAUAAAAGACAGAUGAGCACAGUUGGGUGUGUGUGUGAAAUCAUGAUCCACCUGGAAGGGGUUCCAAACCCUGGACUGCCAUCGCAUACUGGCUGCAAAAGACACAUGCAUGUUGCUUCUCUGCUCUUUCCCUCUUCUCUGUGAGCCCCAUUAUCAACCUGGAAGGCUUCUCAUUCCACAUUUAGACACAAACAAAAGGAUUUGUCCCAGACACUCAAGAACAAGCCAGGACGAAGCCCUUUCCCGCCAAACCACGAAGGCCGGGAAAUAAACAGCGCCUGCACAGGCUCUGGGCGCGCGAGCCCGGGAGAGGACUUGGGUGGGAAGAGGAUCUAGAAGAUCGGAAGGAGGAAGAGAGGGAGGGAGAGAGGGAGGGAGGGAGAAGCUUGGAAAGAGAAGAGGGAGGAGGAAGAGGAGGGACCAGCAAGGCAGAGUUGGACCUGCGGUUCUGUUAUAACCGCCCUUCCCCGCCCAGGGUCUUUCCAUCCCCUGUCCCCCUCCCCCAUUUCAGAGCUGAAGGCCGACUGUGGGAGGAGGAGGUUAAACAAAGGGAAUCCUCCUCCUCUGGGACGGUUGAAGUGCGUUUGUCCUCUCCUUGCAGGCUCUGGAAAAACUGGCAGGAAUUUCCUUGUCGUGAGAAGAUGGACGAGUGUGUCUGCAGCCGAGGAGACAACUACAAACAGACUUUGGGCAGGGAAGGCGGGCGGGCGGGGGUGGGGGGUGGGGCGGGGGCCAGCUUUGAUGGCUCCAGCUCUGUUGUAAUUUUGUCUUCGCCAGAUAGAUUAGCUGGAACCGCCAGCCCUAGCUUGGAGUUCCGUUCCACGGAGUACCCUCCCUCCCCACCCCCCGCGUCAUCUCGCGCCUGGAGCCGGGUCGCCGCUCCUUCCGAAGUCUCGCUGGAAACUUCAAGGGCUGAUGGUUUUGUGUUCCUGACGUAAUUAGGAGGCCACGCAGCUCUCCAACACUCCGUUAAACAAAUAUAAUCCUGCAGGCUCAGAUUUGAAGAGGGAAGGUUCCAGCCAAGUCCACCUUAAGCCUGAGUUUGGGCGAUUACAGAAUCCAGGAAGAAAAUCUAGAUGGCACGGUCGCUCCGGUCUCAGUUCUACAGGGGAGGGAAGAAAGGGGGUGUUAGUGGGGAUAUUUGCUGUUCAUUUUUCCCGCAAUCUCCCUUCCAAAUCAGUCACUGAUUAAUGAGCAAAGCCCAUGCCACAAGUUAUAGAUUACUGUGACUGAGGAUCAUUUUGUUAAUAUCAGGCAACAAACUUUCCUUACUUGCAUCCCUGUGUCUGUAUUUACAGUAAAAACUUCCUUAGUCACAAACUGAUAUGUUUUUAGCCAUACCUUUUCUUUUUACUUACUUACUUUUAGAAAAGCAACAUCAGGAGUUGUGAUAGGAAAUAACAUGGGGGAGGGGUGUGUUAAAGGGAAGGAAGGAAAAGCCAACCUUUAUCCCAGAGUGUCCUGGAGGUAUGCCUACACUCCUGUUUAACAUUUUGUGGUUGUAGUGCCUUCUCCAAGCCCUGGAUGGAGGAGAAAAGAGUUGGAAGCCUCCUCAAAUCUGCCUAUGAAAUGGUAAAACUGAGGAAACUGGUACCCUGGCUACGAGAAGCUGAGUAAUGAUCAGAAUCCUCUGGCCUCUGGCUUUUCUUGAUAUUAGUUCAGGUCUAUGUGAAAAAAUUGCUUUAAUGUCUCCAAAGGUGGUUCCAUUAGAGUUGGCUGAGACAAUACAUGUGCAUCAUUUUGGAAGAGAUGCUCUUAAAAAGAAGAAAGCCACUACAGAAUGCCACAUUUGCUUAGGUCUAAGACCCUUCUGUGGUAGUUGGUGAGGGAGGGAGGAAAGUAAAACCCCAAGCUGAAUAGGCCCCCCAUAGUUUCCGAGUGAUGCAGUAAACAAAUCUAUGAUGCUUGUUGAAUAAUCUUCCAAUAAUUGCAGUCAUUAAAAUCAUCACACAGUC
This is a long non-coding RNA of Pongo pygmaeus (Bornean orangutan), 3421 nucleotides long. RefSeq lists it as uncharacterized. Lineage: Eukaryota; Metazoa; Chordata; Mammalia; Primates; Hominidae. The transcript has 3 exons. The record is from RefSeq and is a predicted model, not a curated record.